Molecule: ribosomal RNA, 352 nt
Filed under: uncultured crenarchaeote
Lineage: Archaea; Thermoproteati; Thermoproteota
Description: bacterial SSU rRNA
Rfam family: Archaeal small subunit ribosomal RNA
Source: RNAcentral
UAGUCAACCUGCCCUGGAGACCAGAAUAACCCCGGGAAACUGGGAUUAAUACUGGAUAGGUCAUCUCAUCUGGAAGGAGAGAUGGCUUAAAGGGGUGUGUGAGCUUCUUUCAUACAGCUGCUCCAGGAUGGGACUGCGACUGAUCAGGCUGUUGGCGGGGUAAUGGCCCACCAAACCAGUAACCAGUACGGGCCUUGAGAGAGGGGGCCCGGAGAUGGACACUGAGAGAAGGGUCCAGGUCCUACGGGGCGCAGCAGGCGCGAAACCUUCGCAAUGCGCGAAAGCGUGACGAGGUUAAUCCGAGUGGUUCCCGCUGAGGGAAUCUUUUGUCGGCUCUAAAAAGGCCCGGUGA